RNAcentral lists this ribosomal RNA (477 nucleotides) under uncultured bacterium. Its description in RNAcentral is "partial 16S ribosomal RNA". It matches the Rfam family "Bacterial small subunit ribosomal RNA", at positions 28 to 523 of the family's 1533-position model. The record is from RNAcentral.
GACGAACGCUGGCGGCGUGCUUAACACAUGCAAGUCGAACGGUAAGGCCCUCGGGGUACCCGAGUUGCCAACCGGUGAGUAACACGUGGGGGAUCUGCCCUUCACUUCGGGGUAAGCCUGGGAAACUGGGUCUUAUUACGGAUAGGACCACUGGCCGCCUGGGUGGGGGGGGAAAUCUUUUGCGGGGUGGGAUGGGCCCGCGGCCUAUCAGCUUGUUGGUGGGGUGAUGGCCUACCAAGGCGACGACGGGUAGCCGGCCUGAGAGGGUGACCGGCCACACUGGGACUGAGAUACGGCCCAGACUCCUACGGGAGGCAGCAGUGGGGAAUAUUGCACAAUGGGCGCAAGCCUGAUGCAGCGACGCCGCGUGAGGGAUGACGGCCUUCGGGUUGUAAACCUCUUUCAGCACCGACGAAGCGCAAGUGACGGUAGGUGCAGAAGAAGGACCGGCCAACUACGUGCCAGCCGCCGCAGUAA